Molecule: long non-coding RNA, 555 nt
Filed under: Pan troglodytes (chimpanzee)
Lineage: Eukaryota; Metazoa; Chordata; Mammalia; Primates; Hominidae
Description: lincRNA
Source: RNAcentral
AGAAGUGAGGCAGCCGUGAGGCGGAGGACAGGCUGGGGGAUCCCAAAGGGUCCGCUCCAGCCCCCAACCCAGGCACUGGGACUCUGGUGGCACCCUGGGUGGCAGGCAAGCCUUGAAAUCAAGUGCACGAGCCUUGGAAAGGAGGACCGGGAGAGUUAUGGCAUUUAUGAAUAAAGAAGAGAAAGAGAAUCACUCGGAUGGGAAAAGUUAACUGGAUUGUUCCCACCUGCAUGGAUCACCGGGAUGAAGCUGUGCCACCCUGUAGGAAUUAGAAGACCACGUCCAGGAAUUGAGCAUCGGGUGCAGGAUCCAGUCUUCUGAGGCCCUGAAACCACAUGAAGCAACUUAGCCGUCUCGCCUUGCGGCCUGGAAGCCCUGGCAAUUUCCGGAGCACCGGCAAGAGACUUUUGCACAGUUUCUGCUUGGAGUCUACCGACUGUCUGUCUCAGAGGUCUGGACAGCUGCUUGUUACAUUUGGCUCACGCUAGCUUUAAAAAGGAAUGUAUGGACCUUACUGCAGAACGUCCCAAUUCUUCAGGCCAAGGUGCAUGUGUU